This is a long non-coding RNA of Wyeomyia smithii (pitcher-plant mosquito), 1172 nucleotides long. RefSeq lists it as uncharacterized. The transcript has 2 exons. The record is from RefSeq and is a predicted model, not a curated record. NCBI's taxonomy places the organism in Eukaryota, Metazoa, Arthropoda, Insecta, Diptera, Culicidae.
GAGAACGAUGAAAACGUUAGAACGAGUCGGCAGCAAUCGGGAAAGCGAGUUGCGAUUUACCGUUUGUGCCCUUCUAAUGUGCCGAACACAACGAUGACGGAAUGCAAUUGCGGAUACGAGUGUAUGACAGUUGAUUGAUGUUUGUUUGCUGUAGUACUUCGAACAUUUUAGAGUAAAAAUUUCAUUUUUGUAGCCAGUGUAAUUGUAAAGUGAAUCUAAUUAUUGUACCUUCACCAUUUCGUUUAUUGGAAUGUUUUAUCUUCAGAAAAGGCUCCCUUUGCUGCAUCCUGCUUCGGUUCAGUGAUCCAGAGGUUUUUCCACUUAGCGGCGUCUCCAAUCCGAUCGCUCUUCAAAUCCGAUUCCGGCCAAGCUUCGAGCGGAAACUGGAAGCCGUCUAUUACACCCGCUAUCACCAACAUCAAACAGAUCACCUUGUGUGUCAUGCUUACUAGACGACACGUGCUUGACUAACCACGAUCGCACUUUGCCAGAUUAAUACAAGUAGACAUCCGUUUUGGUCAAAAUUCGGCAGCCCCUCCGUGGUACACAAAUCUGCGCAUCGAUGACUUGCAAAUCGAAUGAAUGGAUGAUGACGGAACUGUUGAACCGACCCGCACCCGGCAGACUUCCGAGAACGUUUGAGAGCGACGCGCUUGCAACAACAACGAGAAAGGGGCUUUUCAUGGCGAUUAUCUGCCAGCUUUACAACGCGGAUAAACUCGUUAGGCUCUGAUCGAUCGACGGGUGUGAUUUUGAUUGUAAUCUUCGAAGCGUCGUAAUUGAGCACACGGAAGGUAAGGCGGAUUUGUUUAUUACGUGUAAAACCAGUAGCACAAUGUCGAUGACUGGUUUAAUUGAUGGGUUGACAACUGAGACUCCGGUGGCGGUUGAUUUAAUGCUGGUGUGGUAUUACUCUAACAAUGAGGUGUAAAAGCAACAAGUUGAAUUUCAAAUUAAAGAUUGAACAGCAUCUUCCGAAACACCAUAUAUAGGCUGAAUCAGAAUGUAAGACUUUCGCUAAGCUGAAAGACAAAAAUUGUGAUUUUGGGUGGAACUGCCAACAUUUGUUGACAGAGAAAAAAAAGACAAAAAUAGACCAUGUAAAUAACAAUCACUACCUAUGCCUCAUAAGUUCGUAAAUCAUUCUUAAUUCAAAAAAAAAAAAAAAGAAA